AUGCUUGCUUUGGCAGCAUAUAUACUAAAAUUGGAACAAUACAGAGAAGAUUAGCGUGGCCCCUGUUCAGGAUAACACACAAAUUUGUGAAGUGUUCCAUAUUUGA
This 106-nucleotide small nuclear RNA is filed under the name Carlito syrichta (Philippine tarsier). The record is from RNAcentral. Lineage: Eukaryota; Metazoa; Chordata; Mammalia; Primates; Tarsiidae.